Molecule: ribosomal RNA, 253 nt
Filed under: uncultured bacterium
Lineage: Bacteria
Description: partial 16S ribosomal RNA
Rfam family: Bacterial small subunit ribosomal RNA
Source: RNAcentral
UACAGAGGUCCCGAGCGUUGUUCGGAUUCACUGGGCGUAAAGGGUGCGUAGGUGGCUUGGUAAGUUUGAUGUGAAAGCUCAGGGCUUAACCCUGAAAUGGCAUUGAAUACUACUGUGCUGGAGGUUUGGAGGGGGGACUGGAAUUCUUGGUGUAGCAGUGAAAUGCGUAGAUAUCAAGAGGAACACCAGUGGCGAAGGCGAGUCCCUGGACAACACCUGACGCUGAGGCGCGAAAGCUAGGGGAGCAAACAGG